AUUCUAAUUCACUGGUUUCCAAACUUGUCACUGUGUCUUCAUGCUGACAUUCUAGGCACUCCUCGUCUCGGCUCCCCUAUCUUUAUUUCAUCUUUGGGCUAGCGGAUUUCUCUUAUCUUUUCCCUUUCUUAGCUGCAAGAAAAGCAUGUACAUAUUUUGUUGUUUGCAACCUUUCAAAAGUCCACUUUCUGGUUUUUGGUGCCUGAAACAACUUUUUUUUUCUUUUCUUUUCUUUUUUUUUUUUUUUUUGUUUGGGAUGGAGUCUUGCUCUGUCGCCCAGGCUGGAAUGUGGUGGCACGAUUUCGGCUCACUGCAACCUCUACCACCUGGGUUCAAGCAAUUCUCCUGCCUCAGCCUCCCUGGUAGCUGGGACUACAAGCAUGUGCCACCACGCCUGGGUAAUUUUUGUAUUUUUAG
This 417-nucleotide long non-coding RNA is filed under the name Pan troglodytes (chimpanzee). RNAcentral describes it as "long non-coding RNA NONPTRT001633". The record is from RNAcentral. Lineage: Eukaryota; Metazoa; Chordata; Mammalia; Primates; Hominidae.